GAUGAACGCUGGCGGCGUGCCUAAUACAUGCAAGUCGAGCGAACGGACGAGAAGCUUGCUUCUCUGAUGUUAGCGGCGGACGGGUGAGUAACACGUGGAUAACCUACCUAUAAGACUGGGAUAACUUCGGGAAACCGGAGCUAAUACCGGAUAAUAUUUUGAACCGCAUGGUUCAAAGGUGAAAGACGGUCUUGCUGUCACUUAUAGAUGGAUCCGCGCUGCAUUAGCUAGUUGGUAAGGUAACGGCUUACCAAGGCAACGAUGCAUAGCCGACCUGAGAGAGUGAUCGGCCACACUGGAAGUUAGACACGCUCAAGACUCCUAAGGGAGGCAGCAGUAGGGAAUCGUACGCAAUGGGCGAGAGCCUGACGGAGCAACGCCGCGUGAGUGAUGAAGGUCUUCGGAUCGUAAAACUCUGUUAUUAGGGAAGAACAUAUGUGUAAGUAACUGUGCACAUCGUGACGGUACCUAAUCAGAAAGCCACGGCUAACUACGUG
Molecule: ribosomal RNA, 497 nt
Filed under: uncultured bacterium
Lineage: Bacteria
Description: partial 16S ribosomal RNA
Rfam family: Bacterial small subunit ribosomal RNA
Source: RNAcentral